AGAGUUUGAUUAUGGCUCAGAUUGAACGCUGGCGGCAGGCCUAACACAUGCAAGUCGAGCGGUAGAGAGAAGCUUGCUUCUCUUGAGAGCGGCGGACGGGUGAGUAAUGCCUAGGAAUCUGCCUGGUAGUGGGGGAUAACGUUCGGAAACGGACGCUAAUACCGCAUACGUCCUACGGGAGAAAGCAGGGGACCUUCGGGCCUUGCGCUAUCAGAUGAGCCUAGGUCGGAUUAGCUAGUUGGUGAGGUAAUGGCUCACCAAGGCGACGAUCCGUAACUGGUCUGAGAGGAUGAUCAGUCACACUGGAACUGAGACACGGUCCAGACUCCUACGGGAGGCAGCAGUGGGGAAUAUUGGACAAUGGGCGAAAGCCUGAUCCAGCCAUGCCGCGUGUGUGAAGAAGGUCUUCGGAUUGUAAAGCACUUUAAGUUGGGAGGAAGGGCAGUUACCUAAUACGUGAUUGUUUUGACGUUACCGACAGAAUAAGCACCGGCUAACUCUGUGCCAGCAGCCGCGGUAAUACAGAGGGUGCAAGCGUUAAUCGGAAUUACUGGGCGUAAAGCGCGCGUAGGUGGUUAGUUAAGUUGGAUGUGAAAUCCCCGGGCUCAACCUGGGAACUGCAUUCAAAACUGACUGACUAGAGUAUGGUAGAGGGUGGGUGGAAUUUCCUGUGUAGCGGUGAAAUGCGUAGAUAUAGGAAGGAACACCAGUGGCGAAGGCGACCACCUGGACUGAUACUGACACUGAGGUGCGAAAGCGUGGGGAGCAAACAGGAUUAGAUACCCUGGUAGUCCACGCCGUAAACGAUGUCAACUAGCCGUUGGGAGCCUUGAGCUCUUAGUGGCGCAGCUAACGCAUUAAGUUGACCGCCUGGGGAGUACGGCCGCAAGGUUAAAACUCAAAUGAAUUGACGG
Molecule: ribosomal RNA, 914 nt
Filed under: uncultured bacterium
Lineage: Bacteria
Description: bacterial SSU rRNA
Rfam family: Bacterial small subunit ribosomal RNA
Source: RNAcentral